UUUUAUAAGAAAUAAUUAAUAAUAAAAUCUGCUCAAUGAAUAUUAAAUAGCCGCAUAAUCUGUGCUAAGGUAGCAUAAUAAUUUGUUUUUUAAAUGAAAACUAGAACAAAAGAUUUAACAUUUCAAAAAAUUUUUUAAAUUUAAUUUUCUAAAUUAUUCUAAAUGUUAAAAAACAUUUUAUAAAAAAGAAAGACGACAAGACCCUAUUGAACUUAACUACAGUUAAACUGGGGCAGUUAAUUAUUUAUAAUUUUAAUUAACUUAUUUAUAUUAAAUAUCCAAUAAAAUUGAUUUUUAAUUAAUGUUACCAUAGGGAUAACAGCGUUAUUUUAUUCUAAAGUCCUUAUAUAAAAAAUAGAUUGCGACCUCGAUGUUGAAUAAUUACCUAAUUUUUAAAGUAAAAGUUAAUAAAGGAAGUCUGUUCGACUUUUAAAAAAUUACA
This 442-nucleotide ribosomal RNA is filed under the name Argoctenus sp. CG26. Its description in RNAcentral is "partial 16S ribosomal RNA". The record is from RNAcentral. Lineage: Eukaryota; Metazoa; Arthropoda; Arachnida; Araneae; Zoridae.